This 261-nucleotide long non-coding RNA is filed under the name Heterocephalus glaber (naked mole-rat). RNAcentral describes it as "lncRNA (ENSHGLG00100035122.1)". Lineage: Eukaryota; Metazoa; Chordata; Mammalia; Rodentia; Bathyergidae. The record is from RNAcentral.
UGCGUCUGUCCUCAGGAAUCCUAUGAAAUGCUGAGUGGCGAGGAGAGCCUCUGUUAUGAUCUUCAGAACAGAUGGGUGGUUACUUCAGACUUUCCAGGGACCUUCUAACCUUACUCACCUUAUACAACAAAGAGCUCUCCGGGAAGAUUUUUCUUCAUGGUGAACUCACACUGGAGCUGGACUCUGCCCUGCUGUUUCCUUCAUGUGCUGCUCAAAGCUCUUCUUAUGGGUCACUGGAAUGUCAAGUAUCACUGCCUGGCC